GUUUGACCUUAAGAAGAAGAAAUGCAUUUUGUAAUCCAGUAGUUUUCAUUUCUUUUUUUACAUAACUACUGAUGAAACUCCAGUAUUUCCAGUGUUCCUCUUUUAUUUCAUUUGUUAAAUUUUGAAGUGAACGUCUGACAGCUCCGCAUCAGCAGUAUGAGUGGACUUAAAGUCCUGGUUGUCAUAAUCUGGAUGUUGAGAGGUGCUGCCAGCAACAAAUGGGAAAUUAAGAUGCCUAAGAAAAUAGACGCGAUAAGUGGCUUAUGUGUUCAAAUUCCAUGUCAGUUUGAGAUCCCCGACUCAUUCAAACAGUCCCUAAAACAAUCUUGUUGAAGGAAUUUGGAAAAAAAUAAGCGCAGAGGGGCCAAACGUACUUAGUUCAAAAAUGAAAGUGUCUCUUCUAAAAGGAAAUGUGACUGGCAACAUCUCGGACAAAAUUGCACCACUGUGUUCUACAGCUUUCCUGAUGGAUACAGUGAAACAUUUUUCUUCAGACUUCAGGGUCCUGAAACUCUCUUGUACACAUUUC
Molecule: long non-coding RNA, 529 nt
Organism: Carassius auratus (goldfish)
Lineage: Eukaryota; Metazoa; Chordata; Actinopteri; Cypriniformes; Cyprinidae
Exons: 3
Source: RefSeq, a predicted model, not a curated record